UCAAAGAUUAAGCCAUGCAUGUCUCAGUACAAACCCAAUAAGAAGGUGAAACCGCGAAUGGCUCAUUAUAUCAGCUAUUUUUUAUUUGAUAUUAUUACCCUGUUUUUCCUUGGAUAACUGUGGUAAUUCUAGAGCUAAUACAUGCCCAUAUAGUCCCUGACUUGACGGUCAGGGCGCUCUUAUUAGUAUCAAAACCGGUAACAGACUUUGGUCUGUAAACCAACCUAUGAUGACUCUGGAUAAUUUAUAGCUGAGCGCACAGUCUUUGUACUGGUGCUGCAUCUUUCAAGUGUCUGCCUUAUCAGCUUUCGAUUGUAAAUUAUGUGCUUACAAUGGCUAUAACGGGUGACGGGGAAUCAGGGUUCGAUUCCGGAGAGGGAGCCUGAGAAACGGCUACCACAUCCAAGGAAGGCAGCAGGCACGCAAAUUACCCACUCCCAGCACGGGGAGGUAGUGACGAAAAAUAACGAUGCGAGACUCAUCCGAGGCCUCGCAAUCGGAAUGAGUACACUUUAAAUCCUUUAACGAGGAUCCAUUGGAGGGCAAGUCUGGUGCCAGCAGCCGCGGUAAUUCCAGCUCCAAUAGCAUAUAUUAAAGUUGUUGCGGUUAAAAAGCUCGUAGUUGGACUACCGUUCUGGACUGAUGGUACUUCACCUUAUGGUGUUUACUAUCACGCUCCAAAACCGCCUACACAACCCAAAAGUUGUUGGGCUCCACCAGCUCGCAUGGGAUGCUCUUAACCGAGUGUCCUGAGUGGCUGGUAUGUUUACUUUGAAAAAAUUAGAGUGCUCAGAGCAGGCUAUUUAUAUUGCCUGAAUGACUAUGCAUGGAAUAAUGGAAUAGGACCUCGGUUCUAUUUUGUCGGUUUUCUUUGGAAUCCGAGGUAAUGACUAAGAGAGACAAACGGGGGCAUUUGUACUGUGACGCUAGAGGUGAAAUUCUUGGACCGUCACAAGACAAACAACUGCGAAAGCAUUUGCCAAGGAUGUUUUCAUUAAUCAAGAACGAAAGUUAGAGGUUCGAAGGCGAUCAGAUACCGCCCUAGUUCUAACCAUAAACGAUGCUAACCAGCAAUCCGCCGGCGUUAUUCCCAUGACCCGGCGGGCAGCUUCCGGGAAACCAAAGUCUUUGAGUUUCGGGGGAAGUAUGGUUGCAAAGCUGAAACUUAAAGGAAUUGACGGAAGGGCACCACCAGGAGUGGAGCCUGCGGCUUAAUUUGACUCAACACGGGGAACCUCACCAGGCCCAGACACUGGAAGGAUUGACAGACUGAGAGCUCUUUCUCGAUUCAGUGGGUGGUGGUGCAUGGCCGUUCUUAGUUGGUGGA
This 1327-nucleotide ribosomal RNA is filed under the name Torbenella insolita. RNAcentral's name for it is "SSU rRNA". It matches the Rfam family "Eukaryotic small subunit ribosomal RNA", at positions 37 to 1305 of the family's 1831-position model. Lineage: Eukaryota; Metazoa; Arthropoda; Malacostraca; Decapoda; Munididae. The record is from RNAcentral.